This 253-nucleotide ribosomal RNA is filed under the name uncultured bacterium. Its description in RNAcentral is "partial 16S ribosomal RNA". It matches the Rfam family "Bacterial small subunit ribosomal RNA", at positions 524 to 776 of the family's 1533-position model. The record is from RNAcentral.
UACGUAGGUGGCAAGCGUUGUCCGGAUUUACUGGGCGUAAAGAGCGCGCAGGCGGUCGUUCAAGUCGCGUGUGAAAGCCCCCGGCUCAACUGGGGAGGGUCACGCGAUACUGAUCGACUCGAAGGCAGGAGAGGGUAGUGGAAUUCCCGGUGUAGUGGUGAAAUGCGUAGAUAUCGGGAGGAACACCAGUGGCGAAGGCGGCUUCUUGGCCUGUUCUUGACGCUGAGGCGCGAAAGCUAGGGGAGCAAACGGG